Phrynosoma platyrhinos (Desert horned lizard) is the source of this 72-nucleotide non-coding RNA. NCBI's taxonomy places the organism in Eukaryota, Metazoa, Chordata, Lepidosauria, Squamata, Phrynosomatidae. The record is from the annotation of a GenBank genome assembly.
GACAGUGUGGUUAAGUGGUUUAAAUGUUGCACUAGGACUCUGGAGACCAGAGUUUGAAUCCUUGCACAGCCA